AGUUUGGAGCCUGGAGUGCAGAACCGAUGAAGGGCCCCGCCACAUGAGCCUGCUGCAUUAUGGGAAGCUCUUCCUCCUCCUUCCUGGUUGACGAGCCUGACGGUGAAGGUCGUCCUCGGGGUGGAGCUCUGCCCCCCUCCCCCAACAUGGGAUGUCUGAGGAGCAGCCAGAGCACCUUCAUCCCACGACAGAUAGCCGGGCGCCAACGAGAGCGCAGCACCUCAGAGCUGCAGCUGGAAGGAAGUCGUGGAAGCAUCACACGUUGGAUCCAGAUGAACACGGACAAACAGACCAACCAGCAUCUGUACAGAUGUUUGUCAAGCAUGCAGAACUUUCUGAGAAGAAAAGGAGAUCACAACCAAUCCUAACCGUCUGUCUGUCAGACGAUGAAAGACAAAAGUUCCCAAGACUGAAAUAAACACUGCUUACCAAUUUUACACAAUUCUGACCUGUCUGCAUCAGCCGUCUGCUCUGACCCGUCUGCAUGGACCUUCUGCUCUUACCUGUCUGCAUCAGCCGUCUGCAUGGACCUUCUGCUCUUACCUGUCUGCAUCAGCCUUCUGCCCUGACCAGUCUGCACAGACCGUCUGCUCUUACCUGUCUGCAUUAGCCGUCUGCUCUGACCCGUCUGCAAAGACCACCUGCUCUGACCCGCCUGCAUUAGCCGUCUGCACAGACCGUCUGCUCUGACCUGUCUGCAAAAACCCUCUGCUCUGACCCAUC
Molecule: long non-coding RNA, 723 nt
Filed under: Oryzias sinensis (Chinese medaka)
Lineage: Eukaryota; Metazoa; Chordata; Actinopteri; Beloniformes; Adrianichthyidae
Description: lncRNA (ENSOSIG00000010207.1)
Source: RNAcentral